AGCACAUUCCAUCAAAUCGAGAAAUAUAUUCUGUUUAAAGAUAGAUAGAUACUUAUCCUGUACGCAAAAACAAGUUGACAACGCAUGCUUGCGUGGAUCCUAGGAAACUUUCAACUUCACAAUGCAACUCAAUUACAGCUGUCUCCUGCUUGUCUCGGAUUCAAACCAUCACACUUUUGUGCCAUUUCGUGCAGUAUUGGUAUUAUUACACGUGCCUCCAAAACUGGAAAAACUAUCAAUAUUAUAAUGUGUGUCAAAAUAUAUACUAGUAUACGAAAACUCUUGGUACUUUCUGUGCUUCAAUCAACCGCACAGAGGAUAUGUAUUGUUCGCUGCCAUGCUUGUUCUAAAACAUGAUAGCUUGCCAAGUGCUCAAGCUAUUGUUGAAUUAAGACACGAAGGAGCAGAGAGGAGUCUAAUUUCCUCAACUAACAAAUAGGUAAACAUGAAUUAAACUUAAUUUCUUCAGUACUUGUUAGUGACAGUCAAUUAGUUAUUUCUUAGCUCUUCCUAGUUCUUCCUCUGUAAUCAUUUUCUCGGCCAAAAAAGUGUUAAUUUGUCCUUCUA
This is a long non-coding RNA of Vicia villosa (hairy vetch), 567 nucleotides long. RefSeq lists it as uncharacterized. The record is from RefSeq and is a predicted model, not a curated record. The transcript is spliced from 2 exons. Lineage: Eukaryota; Viridiplantae; Streptophyta; Magnoliopsida; Fabales; Fabaceae.